RNAcentral lists this small nuclear RNA (287 nucleotides) under Rattus norvegicus (Norway rat). RNAcentral describes it as "7SK RNA". It matches the Rfam family "7SK RNA", at positions 1 to 289 of the family's 331-position model. Rfam says of the family: 7SK was discovered as an abundant small nuclear RNA in the mid-70s but a possible function has only recently been suggested. The record is from Rfam by way of RNAcentral. Lineage: Eukaryota; Metazoa; Chordata; Mammalia; Rodentia; Muridae.
GGGUGUGACCGCUUCCUAGUGGCAGUAUCUGUCACCCAUUGGCCAUCGGGCUUGAGUCUGCUGAUCUGGCUAACUAGGUAGGUGUUCUCCUCUCUCACUGUUCCUGGAGCUGUGCACUGGACUGAAGAGGGCUACCUCCCACAACAGAGGAUAGUGCUUUGGCCAAGGGUAAAUAGGAAGCCGUGAGCUCCUGCUAGAAUCCUCAAACGAGCUCUGGAGAUUAUAGAGAUCGAGUGUCCACAACCUGGUCCAUGUGCUUCGGGCCGAUGGUGCUUUAGAUUUUAGAU